Molecule: transfer RNA, 84 nt
Filed under: Hippea maritima DSM 10411
Lineage: Bacteria; Pseudomonadati; Campylobacterota; Desulfurellia; Desulfurellales; Hippeaceae
Rfam family: tRNA
About the family: Transfer RNA (tRNA) molecules are approximately 80 nucleotides in length. Their secondary structure includes four short double-helical elements and three loops (D, anti-codon, and T loops).
Source: Rfam by way of RNAcentral
GCCGGGGUGGUGAAACUGGUAGACGCGCUGGACUCAAAAUCCAGUGGGGGCGACCCCGUGCGGGUUCGAGUCCCGCCCCCGGCA